UAAGGCUCAAAUUAAGCAGUCUUGCCUUAUGUUUGUGAAAUAAUGCAAGCUGUUCUCCUUUGUGCAGGGCCAGCUUUGGCCCUGGAUGUUUAGUGACUAAAAUGAAGCACUGGUAUGUAUUCGGAGGAGCACGGAUACGAAUUCAAAGGUACCUGGGAAAGCACAGAAGAGAAGAUGGAUGAGAGAUUUCCCUGUGGAGCCUUGCUGGACAGUCCACCUAGGCACAGGAAGCAAAGACCAUACCAGUCGCUGAUGUCUUCUGCAGAGCAGUCACUCAUGGAACCAGUGUGUAGGUUGCUGACCCAGAUGUAGCCAAGCUUCGUCUUCUGUCUGGUUUUCUUCCAUUCUUCCGUCCCUUCCUCCCGCCCUCUCAGAAGCAUCCUGAAGCAAGGUCCAGUGGACACAGAUGUAGAGCAGGGGAAGAAACCUCUCAACAGCAAGGUGUUGAAGCAAGUGCUGUGUAGGCAGCAGAAGUCCUGAAACGAGCAAAUAACUCCAGCUGUGUGAGACAGUUGGUCUUAGAGAAU
Molecule: non-coding RNA, 527 nt
Organism: Anas platyrhynchos (mallard)
Lineage: Eukaryota; Metazoa; Chordata; Aves; Anseriformes; Anatidae
Source: RefSeq, a predicted model, not a curated record